RNAcentral lists this ribosomal RNA (253 nucleotides) under uncultured bacterium. Its description in RNAcentral is "partial 16S ribosomal RNA". It matches the Rfam family "Bacterial small subunit ribosomal RNA", at positions 524 to 776 of the family's 1533-position model. The record is from RNAcentral.
UACGUGGGGGGCAAGCGUUGUUCGGAAUUACUGGGCGUAAAGGGCUCGUAGGCGGCCAACUAAGUCAGACGUGAAAUCCCUCGGCUUAACCGGGGAACUGCGUCUGAUACUGGAUGGCUUGAGUUCGGGAGAGGGAUGCGGAAUUCCAGGUGUAGCGGUGAAAUGCGUAGAUAUUUGGAGGAACACCGGUGGCGAAGGCGGCAUCCUGGACCGACACUGACACUGAGGAGCGAAAGCGUGGGGAGCAAACAGG